UGAAUACGAGACGCUAAGGCGUCGAAGUAGUGUAUGUCAUACUUCCAAGAAAAGCUUGCACUGUCAUAGACAAAAAACGCCUGUACCAUAACCGACACAGGUGGGUAGGUAGAGUAUACUAAGGGGCGCGAGAUAACUCUCUCUAAGGAACUCGGCAAAAUAACUCCGUAACUUCGGGGGAAGGAGUGCCUUAUUCGUAAGGUUGCAAUAACAAGAUCCAAGCAACUGUUUAUCAAAAACACAGGUCUCCGCUAAGUCGUAAGACGAUGUAUGGGGGCUGACGCCUGCCCAGUGCCAGAAGGUUAAAGAAGUUGGCUAGCAAUUGCGAAGCUGAUAACUGAAGCCCUGGUGAACGGCGGCCGUAACUAUAACGGUCCUAAGGUAGCGAAAUUCCUUGUCGGGUAAGUUCCGACCCGCACGAAAGGCGUAAUGAUUUGGAUACUGUCUCGGAGAGGGGCUCGGUGAAAUAGACUUGUCUGUGAAGAUGCGGACUACCUGCACCAGGACAGAAAGACCCUAUGAAGCUUUACUGUAACUUGAAAUUGAAAUUGGACUUUAUUCGCGCAGCAUAGGUGGGAGGCGUUGAUUAUAAUCUUGCGGGAUUAUUGGAGCCAUCAGUGAGAUACCACUCUUGUAAUGUUAGAUUUCUAACUUUGAAUCAUUAUCUGGUCAAAGAACAGUUUCAGGCGGGCAGUUUGACUGGGGCGGUCGCCUCCUAAACGGUAACGGAGGCGUACAAAGGUUUCCUCUGAACGGUUAGAAAUCGUAUCUAGAGUGUAAAGGCAUAAGGAAGCUUGACUGUGAGACCUACAAGUCGAGCAGGGACGAAAGUCGGUCUUAGUGAUCUGACGGUACUGAGUGGAAAGGCCGUCACUCAACGGAUAAAAGUUACUCUAGGAUAACAGGCUGAUCUCCCCCAAGAGUUCACAUCGACGGGGAGGUUUGGCACCUCGAUGUCGGCUCAUCGCAUCCUGGGGCGGUAGUACGUCCCAAGGGUUGGGCUGUUCGCCCAUAAAAGCGGUACGCGAGCUGGGUUCAGAACGUCGUGAGACAGUUCGGUCCAUAUCCGGUGUAGGCGUUAGAAUAUUGAGAGGAGCCUUCUUUAGUACGAGAGGACCGAGAAGGACAUACCUCUGGUGUACCAGUUAUCGUGCCAACGGUAAACGCUGGGUAGCUAUGUAUGGAGUGGAUAACCGCUGAAAGCAUCUAAGUGGGAAGCCC
RNAcentral lists this ribosomal RNA (1221 nucleotides) under metagenome. RNAcentral describes it as "bacterial LSU rRNA". It matches the Rfam family "Bacterial large subunit ribosomal RNA", at positions 1564 to 2795 of the family's 2925-position model. The record is from RNAcentral.